CUACGGGGGGCACCAGCUAAGAAUCUUCCGCAAUGGACGAAAGUCUGACGGAGCGACGCCGCGUGGACGAAGAAUGUCGAGAGAUUGUAAAGUCCUUUUAUCAGAGAAGAAUAAUUAUCGUAGGGAAUGACGGUAAGAUGACGUUAUCUGAUGAAUAAGCCCCGGCCAAUUACGUGCCAGCAGCCGCGGUAACACGUAAGGGGCGAGCGUUGUUCGGAAUCAUUGGGCGUAAAGGGCAAGCAGGCGGCUUUGUAAGUCUGGCGUGAAAUACUGAGGCUCAACCUCAGAAACGCGUUGGAAACUGUGAAGCUUGAAUCCGUGAGGGGUAUGUGGAAUUCCUGGUGUAGGGGUGAAAUCUGUUGAUAUCAGGAAGAACACCUGAGGCGAAGGCGACAUACUGGCACUGGAUUGACGCUGAGAUGCGAAAGCGUAGGGAGCGAACAGGAUUAGAUACCCUUGUAGUC
Molecule: ribosomal RNA, 464 nt
Filed under: uncultured bacterium
Lineage: Bacteria
Description: partial 16S ribosomal RNA
Rfam family: Bacterial small subunit ribosomal RNA
Source: RNAcentral